UAGUCCACGCCCUAAACGAUGUCUACUAGUUGUCGGGUCUUAAUUGACUUGGUAACGCAGCUAACGCGUGAAGUAGACCGCCUGGGGAGUACGGUCGCAAGAUUAAAACUCAAAGGAAUUGACGGGGACCCGCACAAGCGGUGGAUGAUGUGGAUUAAUUCGAUGCAACGCGAAAAACCUUACCUACCCUUGACAUGUACAGAAUCCCGAAGAGAUUUGGGAGUGUUCGAAAGAAAACUGUAACACAGGUGCUGCAUGGCUGUCGUCAGCUCGUGUCGUGAGAUGUUGGGUUAAGUCCCGCAACGAGCGCAACCCUUGUCAUUAGUUGCUACGAAAGGGCACUCUAAUGAGACUGCCGGUGACAAACCGGAGGAAGGUGGGGAUGACGUCAAGUCCUCAUGGCCCUUAUGGGUAGGGCUUCACACGUCAUACAAUGGUACAUACAGAGGGCCGCCAACCCGCGAGGGGGAGCUAAUCCCAGAAAGUGUAUCGUAGUCCGGAUUGUAGUCUGCAACUCGACUACAUGAAGUUGGAAUCGCUAGUAAUCGCGGAUCAGCAUGUCGCGGUGAAUACGUUCCCGGGUCUUGUACACACCGCCCGUCACACCAUGGGAGCGGGUUUUACCAGAAGUAGGUAGCCUAACCGUAAGG
This 650-nucleotide ribosomal RNA is filed under the name Collimonas sp. AD98. Its description in RNAcentral is "bacterial SSU rRNA". It matches the Rfam family "Bacterial small subunit ribosomal RNA", at positions 791 to 1446 of the family's 1533-position model. The record is from RNAcentral. Lineage: Bacteria; Pseudomonadati; Pseudomonadota; Betaproteobacteria; Burkholderiales; Oxalobacteraceae. RNAcentral also lists the same sequence under 1 other name.